GAUGAAGAACGCAGCGAAAUGCGAUAAGUAAUGUGAAUUGCAGAAUUCAGUGAAUCAUCGAAUCUUUGAACGCACCUUGCGCUCCUUGGUAUUCCGAGGAGCAUGCCUGUUUGAGUGUCAUGAAUCUCUCAAACUCUUAGUUUCAUUACUGAGUGUUUGGAUUCGGAGGUCUAUGCUGGCGCAAGUCAGCUCCUCUUAAAUACAUUAGCUUGGGUCUUGCAUGUCUGGAUCCUUGGUGUGAUAAUUAUCUACGCCAUGAUGUCCCUUCAAGCCCUGCUUCUAAUCGUCUGAAUAAGACAAUUUAUUACUUGACAUCUGACCUCAAAGCAGGUAGGACUACCCGCUGAACUUAAGCAUAUCAAUAAGCGGAGGA
Molecule: unclassified non-coding RNA, 373 nt
Filed under: soil metagenome
Description: partial contains 5.8S ribosomal RNA, internal transcribed spacer 2, and large subunit ribosomal RNA
Rfam family: 5.8S ribosomal RNA (bases 1-120)
Source: RNAcentral